Molecule: microRNA precursor, 83 nt
Filed under: Olea europaea subsp. europaea
Lineage: Eukaryota; Viridiplantae; Streptophyta; Magnoliopsida; Lamiales; Oleaceae
Source: RNAcentral
CUGACAGAAAGAGUAGUGAGCACGCAAAAGAAAUGGUAUAAACCUAUACAAUUUGCCUCUGUGUGCUCACUCUCUUCUGUCAG